ACGGUUCUGUUCGUGAUCGCAAUAUUGUGGACAGGAUAGUGGCGAACGGGUGAGUAACACGUAGGUAAUCUACCUUUUGGAUGGGAACAACUCAGGAAAACUUGAGCUAAUGCCCAAUAAGACCACGUUCCGGGAGGGAUGUGAUCAAAGGCGGGGCGAAAGUCUCGCGCCGGAAGAUGAGCCUGCGGCCUAUCAGCUAGUUGGCGGGGUAAAGGCCCACCAAGGCGAAGACGGGUAGCCGGCCUGAGAGGGCGAACGGCCACACUGGGACUGAGACACGGACCAGACUCCUACGGGAGGCAGCAGUGAGGAAUUUUCCGCAAUGGGCGCAAGCCUGACGGAGCGACGCCGCGUGAGGGAUGAAGGCUUCCCGGGUUGUAAACCUCUUUUGCUUGGG
RNAcentral lists this ribosomal RNA (397 nucleotides) under uncultured bacterium. RNAcentral's name for it is "bacterial SSU rRNA". It matches the Rfam family "Bacterial small subunit ribosomal RNA", at positions 66 to 444 of the family's 1533-position model. The record is from RNAcentral.